GUCAGCUCUAUAGGCUAGACUAUAGUCAGCUCUAUAGGCUAGACUAUAGUCAGCUCUAUAGGCUAGACCAUAGUCAGCUCUAUGGGCUAGACUAUAGUCAGCUCUAUAGGCUAGACUAUAGUCAGCUCUAUAGGCUAGGUUAUACUCAGCUCUAUAGGCUAGACUAUAGUCAGCUCUAUAGUCUAGACUAUAGUCAGCUCUAUAGUCUAGACUAUAGUCAGCUCUAUAUUAUAGUCAGCUCUAUAGUCUAUACUAUAGUCAGCUCUAUAUUAUAGUCAGCUCUAUAGUCUAGACUAUAGUCAGCUCUAUAGCUUAGACUAUAGUCAGCUCUAUAGCUUAGACUAUAGUCUAGACUAUAGUCAGCUCUAUAUAAAACUUUCGAGUUAAAAAUUACGUUUAGAAGUCACAUACAUAUGAGGAGUCGUUCCAUUCUACUCCUGUGAUUAAAAUAAAAAGUCGAUAGUCUGUGUAGGAAUUUUUCAUCAAAUUCGUAUUUUCUCAUGAUUGAUUUUCUCAUGUUGAAUAUCUUUCGCUCUAGAACUAGGUAUAAAAUAAAAGAAUUUUCUACCUGUUGUACAUUUAAAGGUUUAACUAAUAAAUAUGUUUAUAUUAUUUUAUGGGUAUUUCCCAUUCAGUUUGAAAUUUUCAUUCAAAAAACCCAUAACAGAUAAAUAUCAAAUUGGUUGUCAUCUAAUAAGUCGCAACUUCACACAUUUGCCACAUGUGGGUUAAUUUUCCCCAUUGCUGAUAUUUGAAACAUUGUUAAAAACCACUUUAAAAUUUCCUAAAUAUUGUAGUCAUAUGUAUACAAUUUCAAAAAUGUCUUUUCCCGCUUUUCAUAUUUUGUAACAAACAAAGACCGCUCAACUUAUUUUGACCCUUUAUGCCUCAAAUUACUUAUAAAGUGUCAAAACACUUUUUAAAUUGUAAGGGCAAUAACCUAAAAUAAAGCAAAAGCACAAUUUACUUGCACUCUAUAGUUUCUUAAAUUUUAUUCUGGUUUUAAUUUACAUAUAUUGUGAGCCAUUAUUUUAAAAUUAUGAUCUAUAAAUUUUAGGCAUUUUUGACAAACACAACAAUUAAAGCCUUUGUUUAUAAUUUGCAGUGAAUGUUUCCAGUCGGCAAAUAAAUUACACAUAUAUGUAUAACAUAUGUACAAUGUAUAUAUGUACAUACACAUGUAUAUAUUUGCUCAAAUAAGCGAUUUACGCGAUUUAAGUUUUAAUUAAAAUAACAAGAAGAAAAUUUGAUAUUUUAAGGACUACGUGUAACUUAAUAUGGACCACAAUGCAUAGGCAUUAUUGCUCCGUGUAGAUCAACAAGAGCGCCAUCUACUCAUCUACUCUGCUCAAAAGAGCAGAAACUUUUGCCGUUUCCGAUGAGAAAAGGGUACAAAACAAAUUUAUCUUUAGAACCGAUAAAUUGGGCACACUACAAGUUUUAUCGCCACGUUUACAAGAACUAGAGGUAAUUAAUAGAGAAACCAAAAAACGCUUAAAUAAUAUACACACUUCUAGCAAUGACUGAUGGGAUAAAGGACUCCCAAAAUGCGAUACAAUAGACCCUAAAGGUACUGAUUUAGUUCAACUACAAGUUACCCACAAUCUACCACACUCUAUAUCUUUGCAGGAAGUUAUUAAACAGCAGCAUAGGCAAAAUGGAAGUGGUGUCAAGUCUACUCAUUUCACCCAAAUGUUCCAUUCAACAUUUCCAGACAACUUUUACAAAGCUCGAUUUGGAUAAUGAUGUACAUGAUUCGAAUAGUGGGGCUAAUAGGCUCUUUCAAGAUAAUUGCUCAAAAAACUCAAGCUAAUCUGGUAGGACAAAAAAUAUCCAUGAAAGUGUCAUACCUAUCAUUUACCACAUGAUAGGUUUACCGAAUAAAGUCCAUAAAUCCAAUAGUUUUUACGCCAUUCUUGCUUCUGCUCAGCUGCAGCCUGAAAUUGACCUAACAAUUCCUCAAUGCUCAUAGCCCUCUCAACUAAUACCACGACAUUCACGCACUGACAGUUCUCCAGCCAUUAUACAGCAUCCAUAACCUCGCUCACUCCACUCUUCUCGGCAGGAGUAACACACACAGAUGCCUCAGCCACUUUUACAUAUGAUCAACGUUAUUAUUUACCUUUAGCCAACGCUCCAGUCACCUCUACUCCCACCUUCUGUCGCAUAAUUUCCUAUACUUCACAGGCACAAACUAUAAUAUGCUAAAUGUCACAGCAUCAGAAACAUCACAUGUCAAAUGUUACAGCAUCAUAUGUUAAGUAUAACAGCAUCAGCUACAGCAUGCACAUCAUCAUUCUCAUCCUCUACAAAUCCAGUAAUUUGUUCUCAUUAUUAACAUCAAAUCAUCCAAAUGUUCUAAUCAAGUUCGAGGAAUAAGAAAUUUAGUUUUGACGUAAGUUUUGCUAAAGAAGUUCAAUAACAACUUCUCAAAAUACUAAGAAGUGCUUAAUUGAUAUGUUUAUAUACAUAAAUAUCAUAAGUUAUAAAUCAUAUACAUAUGUAUGUAUGGACUCGUAUUCCAUUAAAAAUAUUCUUGAAAACGUCAUUUGAAUGCAUGGUUAAAGUUAUUAUAUUCUCAUCAUCGUUUCCAUCUGCUUCGAUUGGAAAAUUGUUGUCGACUAAUUGGAAUUUGUGUGUAUAGGUAUUGUUACCGAUCGAUAAUUUUUGAAUUGAUGGUUCCCAUUGAGUAAAUUUCUUCUUUUGAAAUACCCGUUAGUUUGUAUUUCUCAUCAGUGCAGUAUUCUUCGUUAUUAAGU
Long non-coding RNA from Lucilia sericata (common green bottle fly), 2759 nucleotides. RefSeq lists it as uncharacterized. The record is from RefSeq and is a predicted model, not a curated record. The transcript has 2 exons. NCBI's taxonomy places the organism in Eukaryota, Metazoa, Arthropoda, Insecta, Diptera, Calliphoridae.